Long non-coding RNA from Boleophthalmus pectinirostris (great blue-spotted mudskipper), 160 nucleotides. RefSeq lists it as uncharacterized. The transcript is spliced from 3 exons. NCBI's taxonomy places the organism in Eukaryota, Metazoa, Chordata, Actinopteri, Gobiiformes, Gobiidae. The record is from RefSeq and is a predicted model, not a curated record.
UCUUCUUCAUUGGUUUUCAAGAUGAACAUUUACUCUAUCUGGAUCCUCAUUAUUGUCAACCUGUGGUAGACGUCACUGAAGUUAACUUUUCACCAGAGUCAUUCCACUGUAGUUCACCUAAAAAGAUGCCAUUUAAUCGUAUGGACCCUAGCUGCACCAU